RNAcentral lists this ribosomal RNA (254 nucleotides) under uncultured bacterium. Its description in RNAcentral is "partial 16S ribosomal RNA". It matches the Rfam family "Bacterial small subunit ribosomal RNA", at positions 524 to 776 of the family's 1533-position model. The record is from RNAcentral.
UACGGGGGGGGCAAGCGUUGUUCGGAAUUACUGGGCGUAAAGGGCGCGUAGGCGGCCAGACCAAGUCGAGUGUGAAAUUGCAGGGCUUAACUUUGCAGGGUCGCUCGAUACUGGUCGGCUAGAGUGUGGAAGAGGGUACUGGAAUUCCCGGUGUAGCGGUGAAAUGCGCAGAUAUCAGGAGGAACACCUAUGGCGAAGGCAGCUCGCUGGGACGGUACUGACGCUGAGGCGCGAAAGCGUGGGGAGCGAACAGG